GACCAACCUCUGGUGCACCAGUUGUUCCGCCAGGAGCACAGCUGGGUAGCUAUGUUGGGAAGGGAUAAACGCUGAAAGCAUCUAAGCGUGAAGCCCACCUCAAGAUUAGAUUUCCCAUAGCGUAAGCUAGUAAGACCCCUGAAAGACUAUCAGGUUGAUAGGUUGGAGGUGUAAGUACAGUAAUGUAUUCAGCUGACCAAUACUAAUAGGUCGAGGGCUUGAUCAAAUA
Molecule: ribosomal RNA, 229 nt
Filed under: Clostridium novyi B str. NCTC 9691
Lineage: Bacteria; Bacillati; Bacillota; Clostridia; Eubacteriales; Clostridiaceae
Description: partial 23S ribosomal RNA
Rfam family: Bacterial large subunit ribosomal RNA
Source: RNAcentral